Molecule: ribosomal RNA, 254 nt
Filed under: uncultured bacterium
Lineage: Bacteria
Description: partial 16S ribosomal RNA
Rfam family: Bacterial small subunit ribosomal RNA
Source: RNAcentral
UACGUAGGGUCCAAGCGUUGUCCGGAUUUAUUGGGCGUAAAGAGCUCGUAGGCGGUUCAGUAAGUCAGAUGUGAAAACUCAGGGCUCAACCCGGAGACGCCAUCUGAUACUGCUGUGACUUGAGUCUGGUAGGGGAUCACGGAAUUCCUGGUGUAGCGGUGAAAUGCGCAGAUAUCAGGAGGAACACCGAUGGCGAAGGCAGUGAUCUGGGCCAGUACUGACGCUGAGGAGCGAAAGCGUGGGUAGCAAACAGG